GAACGAGUUCWCGUUGAUGAUCGGUGCUUGCACCGAGAUUCAACAUGGAACGAGUGGCGGACGGGUGAGUAACACGUGGGUAACCUGCCCUUAAGUGGGGGAUAACAUUUGGAAACAGAUGCUAAUACCGCAUAGAUCCAAGAACCGCAKGGUUCUUGGCUGAAAGAUGGCGUAAGCUAUCRCUUUUGGAUGGACCCGCGGCGUAUUAGCUAGUUGGUGAGGUAACGGCUCACCAAGGCGAUGAUACGUAGCCKAACUGAGAGGUUGAUCGGMCACAUUGGGACUGAGACACGGCCCAAACUCCUACGGGAGGCAGCAGUAGGGAAUCUUCCACAAUGGACGCAAGUCUGAUGGAGCAACGCCGCGUGAGUGAAGAAGGCUUUCGGGUCGUAAAACUCUGUUGUUGGAGAAGAAUGGUCGGCAGAGUAACUGUUGUCGGCGUGACGGUAUCCAACCAGAAAGCCACGGCUAACUACGUGCCAGCAGCCGCGGUAAUACGUAGGUGGCAAGCGUUAUCCGGAUUUAUUGGGCGUAAAGCGAGCGCAGGCGGUUUUUUAAGUCUGAUGUGAAAGCCCUCGGCUUAACCGAGGAAGCGCAUCGGAAACUGGGAAACUUGAGUGCAGAAGAGGACAGUGGAACUCCAUGUGUAGCGGUGAAAUGCGUAGAUAUAUGGAAGAACACCAGUGGCGAAGGCGGCUGUCUGGUCUGUAACUGACGCUGAGGCUCGAAAGCAUGGGUAGCGAACAGGAUUAGAUACCCUGGUAGUCCAUGCCGUAAACGAUGAAUGCUAGGUGUUGGAGGGUUUCCGCCCUUCAGUGCCGCAGCUAACGCAUUAAGCAUUCCGCCUGGGGAGUACGACCGCAAGGUUGAAACUCAAAGGAAUUGACGGGGGCCCGCACAAGCGGUGGAGCAUGUGGUUUAAUUCGAAGCAACGCGAAGAACCUUACCAGGUCUUGACAUCUUUUGAUCACCUGAGAGAUCAGGUUUCCCCUUCGGGGGCAAAAUGACAGGUGGUGCAUGGUUGUCGUCAGCUCGUGUCGUGAGAUGUUGGGUUAAGUCCCGCAACGAGCGCAACCCUUAUGACUAGUUGCCAGCAUUUAGUUGGGCACU
This 1110-nucleotide ribosomal RNA is filed under the name Lacticaseibacillus paracasei. Its description in RNAcentral is "bacterial SSU rRNA". It matches the Rfam family "Bacterial small subunit ribosomal RNA", at positions 64 to 1139 of the family's 1533-position model. Lineage: Bacteria; Bacillati; Bacillota; Bacilli; Lactobacillales; Lactobacillaceae. The record is from RNAcentral.